UUGCACUGUUAAGUAGCCUGUUGGCCUUUACCUUGGCUCUUUGGUGUCAUAUCAGUGCCACACUAACCUCACAGCUUGCAGAAGGGAUGAGUUUGCGAUCUGUAGCUCCUCCCUUUCGAAGGCUGGGAACACUU
Lepisosteus oculatus (spotted gar) is the source of this 134-nucleotide small nucleolar RNA. NCBI's taxonomy places the organism in Eukaryota, Metazoa, Chordata, Actinopteri, Semionotiformes, Lepisosteidae. The record is from Ensembl.